GAAUGAAGGGGACAGCCAGGGAGUUAUCAUGGUCCUUGCGGUUGUCAUUCCCAUGACUGUGCCAUUCGCGUUUGUACAGGUAUUUCUCGGUUCGCUAUACAGAGAUGGAGCUUGCAGAACACAUUAAUUUACCGGUCGAUGGCAUGUGGGCUGAACUCGUGUGUGGAUGCGCAACG
Long non-coding RNA from Triticum dicoccoides, 176 nucleotides. RefSeq lists it as uncharacterized. The record is from RefSeq and is a predicted model, not a curated record. Lineage: Eukaryota; Viridiplantae; Streptophyta; Magnoliopsida; Poales; Poaceae. The transcript has 3 exons.